This 143-nucleotide ribosomal RNA is filed under the name Brachyglottis repanda. Its description in RNAcentral is "5.8S ribosomal RNA". It matches the Rfam family "5.8S ribosomal RNA", at positions 1 to 136 of the family's 154-position model. From Rfam's summary of the family: 5.8S ribosomal RNA (5.8S rRNA) is a component of the large subunit of the eukaryotic ribosome. It is transcribed by RNA polymerase I as part of the 45S precursor that also contains 18S and 28S rRNA. Functionally, it is thought that 5.8S rRNA may be involved in ribosome translocation. Lineage: Eukaryota; Viridiplantae; Streptophyta; Magnoliopsida; Asterales; Asteraceae. The record is from RNAcentral.
CAAACGACUCUCGGCAACGGAUAUCUCGGCUCACGCAUCGAUGAAGAACGUAGCAAAAUGCGAUACUUGGUAUGCAUUGCAGAAUCCCGUGAACCAUCGAGUUUUUGAACGCAAGUUGCGCCCGAAGCCUUUUGGCCGAGGGC